UUGUUUCAUGUGUUGUGCACACCUCCCUCCUUCCCUGCUCUCGGUUCUCUCCCGCACUUUCUCUCUCUCUCUCUAGGCUGGGUUUAAUUUGACACCUUGAGCUUUGGUAACGAGGUGGGGAGCAGAGCAGCCACAGCGGAAUUCAUCAGGCUCAACACUGCAGGGGCCGCUCUCUGUGCGUUAAUGACAUCGGAGGGUAGGGAAACGAGACAGCCACCGCGCGAGAUGAAAUAAACAUGAGGACUGUCAGCGGUGACAGCCUAAGCAAAGGGGACAAAAUGAGCCAGGUUAACGUUGGCGGAAACCAAAUUCAUCACCUUCCUUGGCAGUGAUGAGGUCACCUAGGCUGAGAAAGACAAGCAACCCGUCCAAGGUCCCACCACCUGUGCGUCCUGGAGUUUGGACCUAAGCCUUCUACUUCCAAACGCAGUGUCUUCCCAACACAAAACUCCUGCCUCCAAAUCUGAAGCACCUACAGUUAUUCUCCAUAAAGAGAACUCAGAAAUCAUCUCAGAACUCUCACCUAGGAAGACCACGUUGCUGCAGUGCCAUCGUUUCUCCCCAGCAGAAUCUUGCCACUGCUUCCAAUUUCCCAGCGACAAAU
Molecule: long non-coding RNA, 604 nt
Organism: Jaculus jaculus (lesser Egyptian jerboa)
Lineage: Eukaryota; Metazoa; Chordata; Mammalia; Rodentia; Dipodidae
Exons: 3
Source: RefSeq, a predicted model, not a curated record